GCAAACUUGGUCAUUUAGAGGAAGUAAAAGUCGUAACAAGGUCUCCGUAGGUGAACCUGCGGAGGGAUCAUUACAGAGUUCGCGCCCCCUGGGCGGACCUCCAACCCAUUGUUAUUGCUACGAUUGUUGCUUUGGCGGGCUCGCCCGCCAGAGGCCCUGUAGACUCUGGAUAUGAACGUCGUCUGAGUACUAUAUAAUCGCUAAAACUUUCAACAACGGAUCUCUUGGUUCUGGCAUCGAUGAAGAACGCAGC
This 253-nucleotide unclassified non-coding RNA is filed under the name uncultured fungus. RNAcentral's name for it is "partial contains small subunit ribosomal RNA, internal transcribed spacer 1, and 5.8S ribosomal RNA". The stretch from base 1 to 73 matches the Rfam family "Eukaryotic small subunit ribosomal RNA", at positions 1759 to 1831 of the family's 1831-position model. The record is from RNAcentral. Lineage: Eukaryota; Fungi.